GAUGAACGCUGGCGGCGUGCCUAAUACAUGCAAGUCGAGCGAACGGACGAGAAGCUUGCUUCUCUGAUGUUAGCGGCGGACGGGUGAGUAACACGUGGAUAACCUACCUAUAAGACUGGGAUAACUUCGGGAAACCGGAGCUAAUACCGGAUAAUAUUUUGAACCGCAUGGUUCAAAAGUGAAAGACGGUCUUGCUGUCACUUAUAGAUGGAUCCGCGCUGCAUUAGCUAGUUGGUAAGGUAACGGCUUACCAAGGCAACGAUGCAUAGCCGACCUGAGAGGGUGAUCGGCCACACUGGAACUGAGACACGGCCCAGACUCCUACGGGAGGCAGCAGUAGGGAAUCUUGCGCAAUGGGCGAAAGCCUGACGGAGCAACGCCGCGGGGGUGAUGAAGGUCUUCGGAUGGUAAAACUCUGUUAUUGGGGAAGAACAUAUGUGUAAGUAACUGUGCACGUCUUGACGGUACCUAAUCAGAAGGCCACGGCAAACUACGU
This 496-nucleotide ribosomal RNA is filed under the name uncultured bacterium. Its description in RNAcentral is "partial 16S ribosomal RNA". It matches the Rfam family "Bacterial small subunit ribosomal RNA", at positions 28 to 506 of the family's 1533-position model. The record is from RNAcentral.